GACGGAGGGUGCUAGCGUUGUUCGGAAUCACUGGGCGUAAAGGGCGCGUAGGCGGCCCAUGGUGUCGGAUGUGAAAGCCCGGGGCUCAACUCCGGAGGUGCAUCCGAAACUCAUGGGCUCGAGGUCGGAAGAGGAGGGUGGAAUACCCAGUGUAGAGGUGAAAUUCGUAGAUAUUGGGUGGAACACCGGUGGCGAAAGCGGCUCUCUGGUCCGACACUGACGCUGAGGCGCGAAAGCGUGGGGAGCAAACAGGAUUAGAAACCCUCGUAGUCC
This 273-nucleotide ribosomal RNA is filed under the name uncultured bacterium. RNAcentral's name for it is "partial 16S ribosomal RNA". It matches the Rfam family "Bacterial small subunit ribosomal RNA", at positions 524 to 796 of the family's 1533-position model. The record is from RNAcentral.